Small nucleolar RNA from Otolemur garnettii (small-eared galago), 132 nucleotides. The record is from Ensembl. Lineage: Eukaryota; Metazoa; Chordata; Mammalia; Primates; Galagidae.
AUGCACAUGGAAAUGUCUGCUUCUCAUUCCUGUGUGGGCGGGGAUAUAUUCCUAACAUGCUAAUUAAAAAAGGAGUUCUCAGGGCUUCUGACUACAGUGGAGGUUGGGUGGUAAUAGAUUUUUCCAACAAAA